UGAAAAGGAAUCAGCUAUACUUCAUGAAAGAAAGGAAAAUGUGCUUUUCCCCAACUGCUCCACAUCGCUUUGGUUCAGGAUGAAGCAGAGCAACCAGUCAUUUUGUCCUCUAGCAUGCAGUAUUUAAGUGUAAUAUGUGAUCCAUAUAAACAUAAAGAAGUAGAUGUUCAUGCUUCUUUUAGGGCUCCUCUCUCCAACUUCCACUGGAUUGGCUGAGCUGGCCACUGUCCAGCUUGACUCCUUCAAAUGGUUGCAGGAAGAUGACAGCUGAGGCCAGGGUCAUGAGAAAGCUUCUCUACCCACAUGUCCGGCUGCUGGGCUGGGAGAGUUAGAACAGCUGGGCCAAGCAGGAACCAUCUCUUUCUUCUGUCCACGUAGCCAAGUCGCCUGGCCUCCACAUGCCAGCAGCACACUUGCAAAUCUGCUACUGUAUGUGGUUCUGACUCUGUAAUUACCAAUUCAACAAGCAUGAAACCUUUGAAUGCUGAAUUGCCUUUCCCUUACUUAAUUUUCAUUUCUUGUAAUUUUCUCUUUUCGUUCAGUUUUGAGAAGUAUUCUUAUAACUUUCUUAAUAUACUCUUUCUUUGAAUUGACAUUUAUAAAAAAGAUUAUCACACAAGCUGUUAUUUUAUUUGACAAAGCAAAUAAUUUCUACAUUUUACAAUGUUUUAGAAACUUUGACUUUGCUGUACACAGAGACAGAAUGGACUGAUGCUUUGAGAUUUUUCCAUGACUAGAAAGAGGGCAAGAAGAUGGCUGUGGAAACUGACUUCCGCCUACCUCAAUCCUGGCCUUGCUACUUAUGAACUGUACAGAUUCAUGGGGAGCCUUUCUGUGCCUCUAAUUCCUCAAUAGCAAAAGGGGGCUUAGAAUAAGAGAAACUACCUGUUGUCUUUGUGAGGGUUAAAUGAGCUUGUCCAUGAAGACUGGCAGAAUAGUCCCUACUACCUGAUAAUUGAGCAAUAGAAGUUAACUGUUAUUAUUGCUGGACCGUUUAUUUACAUCUAAUAGUCUUCAUAUUUUUUGCUAAUUGUACUGUUUUCUUAAUGAUGUUACUGAAUGCCUGUUGAUACAAUCAUAUUUUGAGAACUGUGUAGGCAGGUAGCUUUCAUUAACAAGCUUGGG
RNAcentral lists this long non-coding RNA (1125 nucleotides) under Heterocephalus glaber (naked mole-rat). RNAcentral's name for it is "lncRNA (ENSHGLG00100046772.1)". Lineage: Eukaryota; Metazoa; Chordata; Mammalia; Rodentia; Bathyergidae. The record is from RNAcentral.